UGCUGGCAUCAAGUAAGCCGACUACCUCGGCAAAGGCUUAGGGACAAGAGACCAGCAGCCUGAACUGGCUGGGGCAUCCGGAAGGCUUAGAUCUUGUGGCCAAGAGUUCAGACCGUGGCGAAGUGGAGAGUGACAUGCAGUUGGAUGGCGGUGACUGCGUGGUAUGGAAGAAAAUUCAGCUGAAAUUUGCUAGAAAAUGAGUUGUUUUGGAAAGAGACUGUAGAGAAAGGCAAAUGGAAGAAGAAAGCUUCUGUGCCCCCACAGAUACCGACUGAAAAGUGUUAGCAUGAGCAAAAGUUCCUAUCUAAUAUUAUAUGCUUUCCUUUGCUCCCAGCAUUCCACAAUCACGGGCUACUUCAAUUCUGCCUGCUGAGCUGAUUUAAUAAUCUGGAAGAGGAUUAUUCUCCCCCAUCUGGAAGAGGAUUAUUCUCUAUAAUCCCAGUUAGAGACACAAUGACAUAAACAUCGCUGUCCUGCAACCCUGGUUCCAGUCUGGCAAGCAUUGUAGACCUGGCUGCUGAAGACUGACGGGGCCCAGGGUCCGCUGCCCCCACCGCCAUCACCACCUCGGAACCCAGGGUAACGCUGUCAGUCUUUGAGCCUACGAGGAAACCAUUCGGAAGCUCCAGAACCCAGGCCCUAAUCACAACGCCCCUAUCCAGCAGGAAGCAGCCAGAUGAUCAACGACGCCCUUUUUCCUUUUUAUACUAAAGUAAGAAAUAAGAAUGUUAGCCCAAACUGCACUAUUUUGCAGACCCCUACCAUUUUACAAACUGGUCAGAGUGGAAAAUUCCACCAGGGCCUGAGCUGUGAGAAACAUCCUGUCAGGCAGGUCCCAGGCCUAACCCCUGGCUGCACUAAAUUCCUUCAUUAUCAGCAGCCAAACACACCGCCCCCACCCCAUUUUCACAACAAUCCCAGACCUCUCCUGCCCGGGACUGUAACUGGUCCAGCCUGUAAGCGGGAAGGGGGCUCUGGCACUAGCUGGUACCCCCUCUCCGCAGGUCUUUCUCCCAAUAAAUCUGUGUUGCCAUU
Molecule: long non-coding RNA, 1035 nt
Filed under: Homo sapiens (human)
Lineage: Eukaryota; Metazoa; Chordata; Mammalia; Primates; Hominidae
Description: HSALNT0407724
Source: RNAcentral